Non-coding RNA from Rattus norvegicus (Norway rat), 1004 nucleotides. The record is from RefSeq and is a predicted model, not a curated record. NCBI's taxonomy places the organism in Eukaryota, Metazoa, Chordata, Mammalia, Rodentia, Muridae.
AUAUGUAACAUUUAAUAAUUAAAAGGGGAAGUAACAAAAGAAGCUCCCAAUCUAGAAACAUCAAGGAAUCCCACACCGUGAGGGCCACCUGUAUUUUUGCCUCUAGUUAACUAGUGUGUCCCUAUCACUUCUCCUAAAGCCUGCUCCAAGGUGACUGAUGGCUACUCUUGCUGUAUGCCACACUGUUUCCAGCUCCGACUUGCCUGGCGUUUGAUUUGAAGGGAUACCCUGAAUCCCACCUCUGCUGUUUUCUAUUUGUCAGAGUGUAGAUCAGUGGACUGAGGGCCUCCUGGGAACAUUUUGUUUCUGCUCUGGUCUAGGACAUAACUCCGGCAGACAGCUUGAUCAUUUACGAUUGCUCUAUUUUAAGCAAAAUGUCCUUGCGUGAUUUAUUCCCAGUGACACCAACCUGCAGCAAGAAUCUUUGGCUUGGACUGGUCUAGGGCUUCCUCCUAAACACCCCUGAAGAGCUGUCCUUCGUAGUCAUGCCAGACGCUGCUGCAUCUGUGAAUAUUCUCUUCUCCCAACAAAAGGGAAGACUGGAGUCCUUCCUUCCAAGGCAUAAACAAGGGAAGCAUCUGUGGGGUCUUGGCGGGGGAGCUGUGAGGGCAUAUUUGCUAUUCUUGUCCCAGUUCCUCACUUCCCAGGAAUGGAGUCCAGAGGUGUGUGGCAGGCCUGUGACCGUCAGGCUUGAAUACCAGUAGACGCCUGAAAACUCGAUACAACAGUGCCUAUCCUUAAUUCCAGCACUGGGAAAAGCAGAGUCAAGAGGAUCAGAAAUUCAAGGUCACAUUCUGCAACAUACCCCGUUCAAGGCCAACCUGGGCUAUAUGGCAUCCUGUCUGAGAUAUAAAUCCUCUAACUUUACACCCAGUACUUGGGAGGCUGAGGCAGGAGGAUUGCCAUUUGAGAGCAACCUCCAUUCCAUGGUGAGUUCCAAGUCAACCUGAGGUUAAAAAGUGAAACAAUGAAAACAAAACAAAAUAAAAAGCAAUAGAAAAUUA